GACGAACCGUGCGAACGUUAUUCGGAAUCAUUGGGCUUAAAGGGUGCGUAGGCGGCGAGGUAAGUGGAAGGUGAAAUCCCAUCGGCUCAACCGUGGAAUUGCCUCCCAUACUGCCUUGCUUGAGGGAAAUAGGGGUCCGCGGAACUUCCGGUGGAGCGGUGAAAUGUGUUGAGAUCGGAGGGAACGCCAGUGGCGAAAGCGGCGGACUGGAUUUCUCCUGACGCUGAGGCACGAAAGCCAGGGGAGCAAACGGG
This 254-nucleotide ribosomal RNA is filed under the name uncultured bacterium. Its description in RNAcentral is "partial 16S ribosomal RNA". It matches the Rfam family "Bacterial small subunit ribosomal RNA", at positions 524 to 776 of the family's 1533-position model. The record is from RNAcentral.